ACGUGCCAGCAGCCGCGGUAAUACGUAGGGGGCUAGCGUUAUCCGGAUUUACUGGGCGUAAAGGGUGCGUAGGCGGUUUUUCAAGUCAGGAGUGAAAGGCUACGGCUCAACCGUAGUAAGCUCUUGACACUGGGAGACUUGAGUGCAGGAGAGGAGAGUGGAAUUCCUAGUGUAGCGGUGAAAUGCGUAGAUAUUAGGAGGAACA
RNAcentral lists this ribosomal RNA (205 nucleotides) under Clostridioides difficile. RNAcentral's name for it is "partial 16S ribosomal RNA". It matches the Rfam family "Bacterial small subunit ribosomal RNA", at positions 503 to 708 of the family's 1533-position model. The record is from RNAcentral. Lineage: Bacteria; Bacillati; Bacillota; Clostridia; Peptostreptococcales; Peptostreptococcaceae.